GCUGGGCACAGUGGUGCAUGCCUGUAAUCCCAACAGCUUGGGAGGCUGAGGCAGAAGGAUUGCGAGUUCAAAGCCAGCCUCGAGGCACUAAGCAACUCAGUGAGACCCUGUCUCUA
RNAcentral lists this small RNA (116 nucleotides) under Marmota monax (woodchuck). Lineage: Eukaryota; Metazoa; Chordata; Mammalia; Rodentia; Sciuridae. The record is from RNAcentral.